This is a long non-coding RNA of Hemiscyllium ocellatum (epaulette shark), 785 nucleotides long. RefSeq lists it as uncharacterized. Lineage: Eukaryota; Metazoa; Chordata; Chondrichthyes; Orectolobiformes; Hemiscylliidae. The record is from RefSeq and is a predicted model, not a curated record. The transcript is spliced from 3 exons.
CCAGUCAGUUCCAGAGUGAAACUCCCUUCCUCUGAGCAACUCUUCAUCCUGGGGACAAGCAAGCGAGGGACAUCUGUUCACUCUAACAACUGGAGUGACUCCAGGGAGGGAGCAAACUCAGCUGUGUCUAAGUUACCCGGGAGAGUGGAGAUGGAAGUAAACGGAUACAGAAAAACUCUGGUGCCCUGACAAAAAUCCAGCAGGAAGAUGAUUAUGGAGCUAUCAGUAAAAAUGUUUCAUUUGGGUAACCAACGUUAUUAAUGGAAGGACAUAGCUCAAGAUGUGAAAUCCUCGCUCCCUCUCUCUAUUGACCCAACAGGAUUACCAGGGCUGGAAGUACCACUCUCAAAAUACGAUUGCUGACCUACAGUUUUCUUGUGCUGCUGAAUAUAGGAUUUAAAAGCUGCUGGCCUGAUCUCGCACAAAGCACAGACUGUUCACCCGAGCCUGCACAGAAGAUAAAUUUCACUUGGAACAGAGCAAAAAAUAACAACUGUUACCAGUCCCACAACUCAUGUGUUUCCUAUGGACAAAGUUAAAAAUCACACAACACUAGGUUAUUGUCCAACAGGUUUAUUUAGAAACACUAGCUUUCGAGCGCCGUUCCUUCAGCAGGUAGUCUUGGAGAACAAGAUCAUGAUUCCGGAAUGUGUAGCAAAGGAGUCCAUUGUCAUGGAAAUGUGAUACGUUAAACAAUUUUAGAUUAAAUCUUUCACCUUUUAGAAUGGGUUUCUGGUCUUUUGUAUAUUAAUCCCAGAAGUAACAAUAGGUGUGAAUUCUGUCUG